Molecule: ribosomal RNA, 1417 nt
Filed under: Enterobacter cloacae
Lineage: Bacteria; Pseudomonadati; Pseudomonadota; Gammaproteobacteria; Enterobacterales; Enterobacteriaceae
Also listed under: 1 other name
Description: bacterial SSU rRNA
Rfam family: Bacterial small subunit ribosomal RNA
Source: RNAcentral
UGCAGUCGAGCGGUAGCACAGGAGAGCUUGCUCUCCGGGUGACGAGCGGCGGACGGGUGAGUAAUGUCUGGGAAACUGCCUGAUGGAGGGGGAUAACUACUGGAAACGGUAGCUAAUACCGCAUAACGUCGCAAGACCAAAGAGGGGGACCUUCGGGCCUCUUGCCAUCAGAUGUGCCCAGAUGGGAUUAGCUAGUAGGUGGGGUAACGGCUCACCUAGGCGACGAUCCCUAGCUGGUCUGAGAGGAUGACCAGCCACACUGGAACUGAGACACGGUCCAGACUCCUACGGGAGGCAGCAGUGGGGAAUAUUGCACAAUGGGCGCAAGCCUGAUGCAGCCAUGCCGCGUGUAUGAAGAAGGCCUUCGGGUUGUAAAGUACUUUCAGCGGGGAGGAAGGUGUUGAGGUUAAUAACCUCGUCAAUUGACGUUACCCGCAGAAGAAGCACCGGCUAACUCCGUGCCAGCAGCCGCGGUAAUACGGAGGGUGCAAGCGUUAAUCGGAAUUACUGGGCGUAAAGCGCACGCAGGCGGUCUGUCAAGUCGGAUGUGAAAUCCCCGGGCUCAACCUGGGAACUGCAUUCGAAACUGGCAGGCUAGAGUCUUGUAGAGGGGGGUAGAAUUCCAGGUGUAGCGGUGAAAUGCGUAGAGAUCUGGAGGAAUACCGGUGGCGAAGGCGGCCCCCUGGACAAAGACUGACGCUCAGGUGCGAAAGCGUGGGGAGCAAACAGGAUUAGAUACCCUGGUAGUCCACGCCGUAAACGAUGUCGACUUGGAGGUUGUGCCCUUGAGGCGUGGCUUCCGGAGCUAACGCGUUAAGUCGACCGCCUGGGGAGUACCGCCGCAAGGUUAAAACUCAAAUGAAUUGACGGGGGCCCGCACAAGCGGUGGAGCAUGUGGUUUAAUUCGAUGCAACGCGAAGUACCUUACCUACUCUUGACAUCCAGAGUACUUUUCAGAGAUGCAUUGGUGCCUUCGGGAACUCUGAGACAGGUGCUGCAUGGCUGUCGUCAGCUCGUGUUGUGAAAUGUUGGGUUAAGUCCCGCAACGAGCGCAACCCUUAUCCUUUGUUGCCAGCGGUUCGGCCGGGAACUCAAAGGAGACUGCCAGUGAUAAACUGGAGGAAGGUGGGGAUGACGUCAAGUCAUCAUGGCCCUUACGAGUAGGGCUACACACGUGCUACAAUGGCGCAUACAAAGAGAAGCGACCUCGCGAGAGCAAGCGGACCUCAUAAAGUGCGUCGUAGUCCGGAUUGGAGUCUGCAACUCGACUCCAUGAAGUCGGAAUCGCUAGUAAUCGUAGAUCAGAAUGCUACGGUGAAUACGUUCCCGGGCCUUGUACACACCGCCCGUCACACCAUGGGAGUGGGUUGCAAAAGAAGUAGGUAGCUUAACCUUCGGGAGGGCGCUACCACUUUGA